AAAAUAUCUUACGUGUAUUUUACGUAUUUCUUGAAAAAACCUGAAGAUCGACAUUUUAAAUAAACAUACAGUCUGCUGCUAAAGAUCUACACAAACAGCAGCCAUGGAGAAUAAAACAAAGCAAAUACAGAGAUUGGAGUCAACCUCUACAGAUGCUGCUAUAAUCAGCGUUCAAAACAAACUAAGAAAUCACGAGAGUACCAACACUUUUCUUCGAGGUUAAAAUAUUUAGCAAGU
Molecule: long non-coding RNA, 237 nt
Organism: Physella acuta
Lineage: Eukaryota; Metazoa; Mollusca; Gastropoda; Physidae
Source: RefSeq, a predicted model, not a curated record